This 1079-nucleotide ribosomal RNA is filed under the name uncultured bacterium. Its description in RNAcentral is "bacterial SSU rRNA". It matches the Rfam family "Bacterial small subunit ribosomal RNA", at positions 73 to 1162 of the family's 1533-position model. The record is from RNAcentral.
CCCUGCUUUUGUGGGGUGCUCGAGUGGCGAACGGGUGAGUAACACGUGAGUAACCUGCCCUUGACUUUGGGAUAACUUCAGGAAACUGGGGCUAAUACCGGAUAGGAGCUCCUGCUGCAUGGUGGGGGUUGGAAAGUUUCGGCGGUUGGGGAUGGACUCGCGACUUAUCAGCUUGUUGGUGGGGUAGUGGCUUACCAAGGCUUUGACGGGUAGCCGGCCUGAGAGGGUGACCGGCCACAUUGGGACUGAGAUACGGCCCAGACUCCUACGGGAGGCAGCAGUGGGGAAUAUUGCACAAUGGGCGGAAGCCUGAUGCAGCAACGCCGCGUGCGGGAUGACGGCCUUCGGGUUGUAAACCGCUUUCGCCUGUGACGAAGCGUGAGUGACGGUAAUGGGUAAAGAAGCACCGGCUAACUACGUGCCAGCAGCCGCGGUGAUACGUAGGGUGCGAGCGUUGUCCGGAUUUAUUGGGCGUAAAGGGCUCGUAGGUGGUUGAUCGCGUCGGAAGUGUAAUCUUGGGGCUUAACCCUGAGCGUGCUUUCGAUACGGGUUGACUUGAGGAAGGUAGGGGAGAAUGGAAUUCCUGGUGGAGCGGUGGAAUGCGCAGAUAUCAGGAGGAACACCAGUGGCGAAGGCGGUUCUCUGGGCCUUUCCUGACGCUGAGGAGCGAAAGCGUGGGGAGCGAACAGGCUUAGAUACCCUGGUAGUCCACGCUGUAAACGGUGGGUACUAGGUGUGGGGUCCAUUCCACGGGUUCCGUGCCGUAGCUAACGCUUUAAGUACCCCGCCUGGGGAGUACGGCCGCAAGGCUAAAACUCAAAGGAAUUGACGGGGCCCCGCACAAGCGGCGGAGCAUGCGGAUUAAUUCGAUGCAACGCGUAGAACCUUACCUGGGUUUGACAUGGAUCGGGAGUGCUCAGAGAUGGGUGUGCCUCUUUUGGGGUCGGUUCACAGGUGGUGCAUGGCUGUCGUCAGCUCGUGUCGUGAGAUGUUGGGUUAAGUCCCGCAACGAGCGCAACCCUUGUUCACUGUUGCCAGCACGUUAUGGUGGGGACUCAGUGGAGACCGCCGGGGUCAAC